Molecule: ribosomal RNA, 253 nt
Filed under: uncultured bacterium
Lineage: Bacteria
Description: partial 16S ribosomal RNA
Rfam family: Bacterial small subunit ribosomal RNA
Source: RNAcentral
UACGUAGGUGGCAAGCGUUGUCCGGAAUUAUUGGGCGUAAAGCGCACGCAGGCGGUCUGUUAAGUUUGACGUGAAAGCUCCCGGCUUAACUGGGAGAGGUCGUUGAAGACUGGCAGACUUGAGGCGAUGAGAGGGGUGUAGAAUUCCCGGUGUAGUGGUGGAAUGCGUAGAUAUCGGGGGGAAUACCAGUGGCGAAAGCGGCACCCUAGCGUUAGCCUGACGCUCAUGUGCGAAAGCGUGGGGAGCGAACUGG